RNAcentral lists this ribosomal RNA (491 nucleotides) under uncultured bacterium. Its description in RNAcentral is "partial 16S ribosomal RNA". It matches the Rfam family "Bacterial small subunit ribosomal RNA", at positions 28 to 507 of the family's 1533-position model. The record is from RNAcentral.
GAUGAACGCUGGCUACAGGCUUAACACAUGCAAGUCGAGGGGAAACGACGGGGAAGCUUGCUUCUCCGGGCGUCGACCGGCGCACGGGUGAGUAACGCGUAUCCAACCUGCCUCUGACUGAGGGAUAACACGCCGGAAUACUGCCUAAUACCUCAUGGCAUCGUCUGCGGGCAUCCAACGACGCUCAAAGAUUUCAUCGGUCAGGGAUGGGGUUGCGUCUGAUUAGCUAGUUGGCAGAGUAACGGCACACCAAGGCGACGUUCAGUAGGGGUUCUGAGAGGAAGCCCCCCCAGAAUGGAGCUGAGGCACGGUCCAAACUCGUACGGGAGGCAGCGGUAAGGAGUAUUGGUCGAUGAGCGAGGGCCUGAACCAGCCAAGUAGCGUGCAGGAUGACGGCCGUAGGGGUGGUAAACUGCUUGUAUGCAAGGAUAAAGUGAGGGACGGGUCGUUCAUUGCAGGUACCGCAUGAAUAAGGACCGGCUAAUUCCGUG